RNAcentral lists this unclassified non-coding RNA (899 nucleotides) under Hevea brasiliensis (rubber tree). The record is from RNAcentral. Lineage: Eukaryota; Viridiplantae; Streptophyta; Magnoliopsida; Malpighiales; Euphorbiaceae.
GGGGGACGAGGGUCAGGCCCAACAACAGCGAGAAUUUUCUUGUUCAACUUCAAUUCAUAUGAAUGCAAUGAUUCAGAUCGGAGUUAACGUAUAAUCUGAAGUUGGGAUCUGUCAAUGGCUAGGAUCUUCGAGUACUUCGUAGUAUGUGGUAUUGGGACAGAGAUACGGACCUUGGAUGGUAACAGAGGGUACCAUGGCGCAGGGGUUAUGUAUAUGCCAGCGCUUCUUGAUCAGUACCCUCCUUCCAAUCAUACUCUCUAUCCUCCCCCUCCUCCUCAACUUCCUACUUGUGUUCUACCAGCUGGUGUGGAAUUCUACGGGUCAGGUUUUGAUUCAAAUGAUCCAUCAACUCUCCCCAGGAGUUAUCCUAUUGUUUUGACUGAGGGUGAUGGGUCAAAGAUUUACGUCAGCUGCAUCGCAUUUCGGGAUCCUGUUUGUGAGGAUAUUGCCGAAGCUUACUGCAUUCCUGUAAAUUCAUAUGCUGACAAGUGCAUCUGUCUUGUCUCACGCUCUCCCAGUUUUCAAAUCCUUCGAGAUGCCCUUGAGGAAAUUUUUGUGCUUUGUUUUUCCUCCUCUGGAAGCAGCAAGCCACUGUGGGAUGUUAUAGCAUAUUCAGUCUCCAAUGUACCUUUGCCAACACCUGGAAAAGAUAGGGUGCUAUUUGCUAUUGAGAACAGCCUUCUCUCUGUUGAAGUUCCACCAAAGGAGGGCCUUCCUCAUGCCGAUAUAUCAUUUCAGCCUUUGCUUCAGUGUUUGGAUGUGGACAAUGUUAUCCAAUUAUUUACAGCUGUUCUACUCGAGAGAAGGAUUUUGCUUCGAUCGAACAUGUAUUCUCUGUUAACACUUGUAUCAGAAGCCAUAUGCCAUUUAAUUUAUCCGUUUCGGUGGCAGCAUGUCUA